AGCGAACGCUGGCGGCAUGCCUAACACAUGCAAGUCGAGCGCUCCCAGCAAUGGGGGAGCGGCGGACGGGUGAGUAACGCGUAGGAACGUAUCCUGAGGUGGGGGAUAACCCUGGGAAACUAGGGCUAAUACCGCAUGAUGGCGAGAGCCCAAAGAUUUAUCGCCUUGGGAGCGGCCUGCGUCUGAUUAGCUUGUUGGUGGGGUAACGGCCUACCAAGGCGAUGAUCAGUAGCUGGUCUGAGAGGAUGAUCAGCCACACUGGGACUGAGACACGGCCCAGACUCCUACGGGAGGCAGCAGUGGGGAAUAUUGGACAAUGGGCGAAAGCCUGAUCCAGCAAUGCCGCGUGGAUGAAGAAGGUCUUCGGAUUGUAAAGUCCUUUCGGCGGGGACGAUGAUGACGGUACCGCAGAAGAAGCCCGCUAACUCGUGCCAGCAGCCGCGGUAAAACGUGUGUGUA
RNAcentral lists this ribosomal RNA (459 nucleotides) under uncultured bacterium. RNAcentral describes it as "bacterial SSU rRNA". It matches the Rfam family "Bacterial small subunit ribosomal RNA", at positions 29 to 536 of the family's 1533-position model. The record is from RNAcentral.